AUUGAACGCUGGCGGCAGGCCUAACACAUGCAAGUCGAGCGGAUGACCGGAGCUUGCUCCUGAAUUCAGCGGCGGACGGGUGAGUAAUGCCUAGGAAUCUGCCUGGUAGUGGGGGACAACGUUUCGAAAGGAACGCUAAUACCGCAUACGUCCUACGGGAGAAAGCAGGGGACCUUCGGGCCUUGCGCUAAUAGAUGAGCCUAAGUCGGAUUAGCUAGUCGGUGGGGUAAAGGCCUACCAAGGCGACGAUCUGUAGCGGGUCUGAGAGGAUGAUCCGCCACACUGGGACUGAGACACGGCCCAGACUCCUACGGGAGGCAGCAGUGGGGAAUAUUGGACAAUGGGGGGAACCCUGAUCCAGCCAUGCCGCGUGUGUGAAGAAGGCCAUUUGGUUGUAAAGCACUUUAAGCGAGGAGGAGGCUACCGAGAUUAAUACUCUUGGAUAGUGGACGUUACUCGCAGAAUAAGCACCGGCUAACUCUGUGCCAGCAGCCGCGGUAAUACAGAGGGUGCAAGCGUUUAUCGGAUUUACUGGGCGUAAAGCGCGCGUAGGUGGCCAAUUAAGUCAAAUGUGAAAUCCCCGAGCUUAACUUGGGAAUUGCAUUCGAUACUGGUUGGCUAGAGUAUGGGAGAGGAUGGUAGAAUUCCAGGU
Molecule: ribosomal RNA, 652 nt
Filed under: uncultured Acinetobacter sp.
Lineage: Bacteria; Pseudomonadati; Pseudomonadota; Gammaproteobacteria; Moraxellales; Moraxellaceae
Description: bacterial SSU rRNA
Rfam family: Bacterial small subunit ribosomal RNA
Source: RNAcentral